CUACGGGUGGCACCAGUGGGGAAUAUUGCACAACGGGCGCAAGCCUGAUGCAGCCAUGCCGCGUGUAUGAAGAAGGCCUUCGGGUUGUAAAGUACUUUCAGCGGGGAGGAAGGGAGUAAAGUUAAUACCUUUGCUCAUUGACGUUACCCGCAGAAGAAGCACCGGCUAACUCCGUGCCAGCAGCCGCAGUAAUACGGAGGGUGCAAGCGUUAAUCGGAAUUACUGGGCGUAAAGCGCACGCAGGCGGUUUGUUAAGUCAGAUGUGAAAUCCCCGGGCUCAACCUGGGAACUGCAUCUGAUACGGGCAAGCUUGAGUCUCGGAGAGGGGGGUAGAAUUCCAGGUGUAGCGGUGAAAUGCGUAGAGAUCUGGAGGAAUACCGGUGGCGAAGGCGGCCCCCUGGACGAAGACUGACGCUCAGGUGCGAAAGCGUGGGGAGCAAACAGGAUUAGAUACCCGCGUAGUC
RNAcentral lists this ribosomal RNA (464 nucleotides) under uncultured bacterium. RNAcentral describes it as "partial 16S ribosomal RNA". It matches the Rfam family "Bacterial small subunit ribosomal RNA", at positions 339 to 795 of the family's 1533-position model. The record is from RNAcentral.